Molecule: transfer RNA, 78 nt
Filed under: Synergistetes bacterium ADurb.Bin155
Lineage: Bacteria; Thermotogati; Synergistota
Also listed under: 7 other names
Description: tRNA-Pro
Rfam family: tRNA
About the family: Transfer RNA (tRNA) molecules are approximately 80 nucleotides in length.
Source: RNAcentral
CGGGACGUAGCGCAGCCUGGUUAGCGCACUUGACUGGGGGUCAAGGGGUCGGAGGUUCAAAUCCUCUCGUCCCGACCA